UAUUGGUUAAUAGCCACACAAAUUUUGAAUAUAAAAAGAUCACAUCCUACUAUGGAUCCAACCAAGAUAUUUUAAUUGAUUCAGGAACAACAAAGAACAUUAUACGGUAUUUGAAGUAAAACCAAAUCAUCGUAACAAAUGAAAUAUGCUGGGAAAACGAGAAGCUACAUUACUAUCCCUUACUCCUUGCAUUCGGUUCAGAUGAGAUAAAGCGAAUAGGCUGAAUGAUGGCUUGGCUAAACGAUAGUGUACCAUAUCAGAUGAUAAAAAUAAUACGAUUACACGGAUCAUUGGUUAUGGAUCAAACUAAAUGCUUCUGGAAACACACAAUAAAAAAACGAGAAAGAACGUCUGAGUCGCUUCUGAGGACGCGACUCUACUUUUAUACCCGUACUCAGU
This is a long non-coding RNA of Drosophila obscura, 399 nucleotides long. RefSeq lists it as uncharacterized. The transcript has 3 exons. NCBI's taxonomy places the organism in Eukaryota, Metazoa, Arthropoda, Insecta, Diptera, Drosophilidae. The record is from RefSeq and is a predicted model, not a curated record.